Panicum virgatum (switchgrass) is the source of this 727-nucleotide long non-coding RNA. RefSeq lists it as uncharacterized. The record is from RefSeq and is a predicted model, not a curated record. The transcript is spliced from 2 exons. NCBI's taxonomy places the organism in Eukaryota, Viridiplantae, Streptophyta, Magnoliopsida, Poales, Poaceae.
UCCCGUCAACAGCCCAACGCCGAGUAAACGGAGACGUCUCCGGCCCCUCUAUUCUUUCCCCUCCUGUCCUGAAAGAUACUUGUCUAGCGUACAGCAACAUGGAGCAUUCAGAGUUCCAUAUAGUGGGGGGAAGCUUAAUCUACGCAGCAAGAAGAUCGAUUUAGGUUGAGGCAAACGAUUUGGGUACAGGCAAACUUCAUAUUCUGCCAAAAAGUGGCAGCAGCAUGCUCGAGCUGGUUGGCGGCGAGCUGAUUAUGAUGGGGAAUCCUUUUCUAGCUGCUUGAUUUCGAUUUUGGGUGGUGAGGAACUUUAUUUUCGCUUCUUAAUUUCGAUUUGGGUUAUCAGGAACUCGAUUCCUGCUGGGGGAUCUCGAUCUGGGUGAGGGGGAGUUCGGUUUUGGUGUUUCUUCUUCAGUUGGGUCGAGUCGAGGUCACCACGGUGGGGCAUCGAGCUGGGAGACUUCAAGGACCUCUUCUCUCCGCAGCGUAUGUGGCAGCGAGAACGAGUGUUGACCCUGAAGAAAUCUGACGAUGAUGUGGCAGCGCCAGUAGCAGGGGGCGUGAUACUUGUGGAAAUAAUGACCCGGGCAUACCCAUGUAGUUUGUCUGCUGAGGCAUAGGUAGAUUUGGUGUGUCGUUGAGAAAGAUGAACUGAUGAUCUGUAUCUCUUGUAAUUGGAUAUGCAGCUUUUUUCCCUCCAUUAAUUUCUAUUAACCGCUGUGUGGCGC